Molecule: non-coding RNA, 94 nt
Organism: Cronartium quercuum f. sp. fusiforme G11
Lineage: Eukaryota; Fungi; Basidiomycota; Pucciniomycetes; Pucciniales; Coleosporiaceae
Source: the annotation of a GenBank genome assembly
GGUUUGGUGGUCUAGUAGUAUGAUUCACCCUUAGGGACACAGGACUCCUGUUGUGACUUGGGUGAGGUCCCGGGUUCAAUUCCCGGCCAGACCC